AAUGCUUGUGAAAAAAAUGUAGAACACCCACUGAAUUGUACACAUACCAAGGUCGGACACCAAAGUAUUGGACAUGGAAGUAGUUCCAGAACAGGAAUCAUGAUUCAGGAAAGAAGAUAACAAAUAUAUGAGCUUGUAUAUGCGUUCUUUUCCUCGUCUGUGAAAGCACUACACCACCAUAGAAGUGUGUUGCCGCAGUGCUAAUGCUCUGCAACUGUUGCUCCUCACCACAUCACUCCGCAUCCUCCCAGCUCUACUUCUUCUCGUCAGAACUAUAAGAAAAUCGGAAAGUUAAUAAUCAAUAAUCAACCAGAUGGGAACAGGAAGUGGAGUGGGGAGGAAGAUGUCGCUGGCAAGGAGAAGGACGGACCCGGUGAGGGGUCGAAGCAGGA
RNAcentral lists this long non-coding RNA (392 nucleotides) under Triticum aestivum (bread wheat). RNAcentral describes it as "long non-coding RNA (TAES_LNC015341)". The record is from RNAcentral. Lineage: Eukaryota; Viridiplantae; Streptophyta; Magnoliopsida; Poales; Poaceae.